AUACGGAGGAGGCAAGCGUUGUUCGGAAUUACUGGGCUUAAAGCGUGCGUAGGCGGGAUGGCAGGUGUCGUGUGAAAGCCCUCGGCUCAACCGAGGAAUUGUUCGGCAAACCGUCAUUCUUGAGGCCAGCAGGGGGACCUGGAACUUUGGGUGGAGCGGUGAAAUGCGUAGAUAUCCAAGGGAACGCCGGUGGCGAAAGCGGGGUCCUGGGCUGGUUCUGACGCUGAGGCACGAAAGCGUGGGUAGCAAACAGGAUUAGAAACCCCGGUAGUCC
Molecule: ribosomal RNA, 274 nt
Filed under: uncultured bacterium
Lineage: Bacteria
Description: partial 16S ribosomal RNA
Rfam family: Bacterial small subunit ribosomal RNA
Source: RNAcentral